ACAUGAAGCUGGAAUCGCUAGUAAUCGCGAAUCAGAAUGUCGCGGUGAAUACGUUCCCGGGUCUUGUACACACCGCCCGUCACACCAUGGAGUCGGAAAUGCCCGAAGUCAGUGACCCAACCGCAAGGAGGGAGCUGCCGAAGGUGGAGCCGGUAACUGGGGUGAAGUCGUAACAAGGUAGC
RNAcentral lists this ribosomal RNA (182 nucleotides) under uncultured bacterium. Its description in RNAcentral is "partial 16S ribosomal RNA". It matches the Rfam family "Bacterial small subunit ribosomal RNA", at positions 1318 to 1500 of the family's 1533-position model. The record is from RNAcentral.